Molecule: ribosomal RNA, 207 nt
Filed under: uncultured bacterium
Lineage: Bacteria
Description: partial 16S ribosomal RNA
Rfam family: Bacterial small subunit ribosomal RNA
Source: RNAcentral
CGGAUUGUAGUCUGCAACCCGACUACAUGAAGCUGGAAUCGCUAGUAAUCGCGGAUCAGAAUGCCGCGGUGAAUACGUUCCCGGGUCUUGUACACACCGCCCGUCACACCAUGGGAGUCGGUAACACCCGAAGCCUGUAGUCUAACCGCAAGGAGGACGCAGUCGAAGGUGGGAUUGAUGACUGGGGUGAAGUCGUAACAAGGUAUC